This is a long non-coding RNA of Ceratosolen solmsi marchali, 228 nucleotides long. RefSeq lists it as uncharacterized. Lineage: Eukaryota; Metazoa; Arthropoda; Insecta; Hymenoptera; Agaonidae. The record is from RefSeq and is a predicted model, not a curated record. The transcript is spliced from 3 exons.
UAAAAGUGCCUAUAAAAAAUAUUACAAAAUAUCUUUGAUAAAAUUUAUUUCAAGAAUUGAUGUAACUAAAACGAAAACGAUGGGAGAAGUCAUAGAAAUUUUAAAAGUAGAAAAUACUUACUUGCCGCAGGAUGGCAUAAGCGAAGUUGUUGUUGCUGAUUUAUUAGUCAAAAAUUCACACGACGAUACACUUAUUAUACCUGAUAUAAUAGAUGCUGGAGAAGGUAU